UCAAGAAUCUUCCUCAAUGGCCGAAAGGCUGAAGGAGCGACGCCGCGUGCAGGAUGAAGGCCUUCGGGUUGUAAACUGCUUUUAUCAGGGACGAAUUCGUGACGGUACCUGAUGAAUAAGAGGUUGCUAACUCUGUGCCAGCAGCAGCGGUAAUACAGAGACCUCAAGCAUUAUCCGGAUUUAUUGGGCGUAAAGCGUCCGCAGGUGGUUUGGCCAGUUGGGGGUUAAAAUCUCGAGCUUAACUCGAGAAUCGCCUUCAAUACUACCAAACUCGAGGGUGGAAGAGGUGAGCGGAAUUCUCGGUGUAGUCGUAAUAAGCGUUGAUAUCGAGAAGAACACCAAAUGCGAAGGCAGCUCACUAGUACACUCCUGACACUCAGGGACGAAAGCGUGGGGAGCAAACAGG
This 406-nucleotide ribosomal RNA is filed under the name uncultured bacterium. RNAcentral's name for it is "bacterial SSU rRNA". It matches the Rfam family "Bacterial small subunit ribosomal RNA", at positions 355 to 776 of the family's 1533-position model. The record is from RNAcentral.